GUUUAACUAUGUAUUAUGUAGUUUAAUCCACACCUGUUAUGGAUGCAUCAUAGUGAUUUCCCACAAGUUUUUUUUUUUUCUAUGAUUUCUCAUUGCAGAUAUAAAGGGCAACGAACAAAUUGAAAAAAAUCUUCUUGCAGUUUGGCUUUUGAUACUGGCAGCUCAAGAAUGGACAGAAAACAAGGAAAAUAUGUAGUGAAUGUUGAACUCUCUGGAAAUCAGCCGGUGAGUAUUUUUGCUUCAUUUUGAUAUUUGGCCAAUAUUAUAGUAUCAUUUUCAGCAUUUACAAGCUAUUUAGUCUCUUUAUUACUAUAUUGGCAAGGUCAUAGUUUUAUAUUCUUUUCCAAGAGGAAGAGUGGACUUAGAAAGAUUUUCUGCUCCAAUUUUCCUGAUAUAUUUUUUCUAUAUUAUAUUUUGACAGUAUUUGAAAUCUUUAUAGAUGUAAAAUAUUAGGGAUGUUUCUAUGCCUGUGUGAUAUACAAGUAAACCCAUUCAACUUUCUGCAUUCACUAUCAUAUGAACAUAAAACCCAAAGAUGUUAUUGUUUGUUAAGUUAUAUAUAUAUUUUUUCAAUUUGAUGCUUAGAUUUUUAUAUAUAAUUCCUGGACCUGUCAGAAUGCAUAUUUCUACAUAGACUGGAAAACCAGAUGUUAAUCCUAGAUAUAGCCUUUAGGCCCAAGAAAUAAAUCGGCUAAAAAUACCUGCUUCUGGGCUGGGGUUGUGGAUCAGUGGUAAAGCGCUCGUCUAACAUGUGUGAGGCCCUGGGUUCGAUCCUCAGCGCCACAUUAAAGUAAAUAGAUGAAAUAAAGGUAUUGUGUUCAACUACAACUAAAAAUAUAAAAUAAAAUAUUUAAAAAUACCUGCUUCAUGGAAAAAUAUGAUCUACAUUUUUUUUAGGCAAGUAUUCUGUCCCUGAGCUACAUCCCCUGUCUUCUAUGUUCUUUCUUUAUUUUUUAAAAUGCUUUAAUACCAAGAAUUAAGCCUUCAUUGUAUAUUCUUCACAAGUGCUUGUAUUUAUUUGGUUAUGACUGACUAAGUAAUCCUUCAUGUCAGUAAAAGGAAGAGCAUAGUUUUGGAAGUUUAACUCCUCAUUUUAAAAACGAGAAGUUAACAUUUCAUUGCCCAAAGAAUAUGUGAAAAUUAUGUGAAGAAAUACUUGGCCUUUGCUAUGUGGAGCUGUGGCAGCCAGUCUGCACUGUCCUGAGAUAAACCAGGAAGGGAGUCCAGUGUCCCACCAAGUGACAGUUGAAUGAAAGAGCGUGGCGGGGGACUCCUGGUUCAGCACAAGAGCAGAGUCCAUCUUUUUGGAUCAUUAACCAAGGGACCCUCCUGUGGAUGUUCUCUUUCACUUCUGAAUUGGACACUCUCUGAAUCUUUAAGAUGCCAAAUACUGAGAGGGGGUUCAUCAUCUCGGUAAUUUCUCUAGAAAACAGCAAACUUGAAGUUGUUUACAAAUAUUAUCUCAAACCUUUUUUACAGUACAUCUGGAUAGCUGACUGCCUGUUUCACUUUAUUAUAGAUACCUAGAGAGAGCUAUACAUUUUUAUCUUAAGACCAAAUUCCAUAAUGAGAUUUGAAAGUUAUUGGAAGGUUACAAAUAAACAACAUAAAUUUUGGUGUUUUGGUUUUCUGUGAGGCCUACAUGAGAUCUUAAUCCUUACAAAAUUAGGGGGAAAAAUAGCUUACUAAAUUUCCUUUGGUAAAUACAGUGAAUGCAUUUCAGUUGCCUAUGGCUAUCAUUAGCUAAUUGUGAUUUUCCUGUUAUACAUUAUCCAGAGCUCUCCACAUGGAGCAAUUUUGUUAAGAGACUCCACCUAUACUACGAACCAGAGCAACUCCAUAGAAUGAGAUCAUCACCCAGGCUGCACUGUCACUCCAAAGCUGGGCCCAGAUCACAGGAUCAUCACCCUUGGUGUAGACCCACCCACUGCUUUCCUUCUUUGAAAGGGCUGGGAUUCUGACAGGGCCAGAAAAUUCUGGAAAACUAGCCUGGUGAUUUGAGUUUUAGUUUGUUUACAAAGUGCAUUGAAAUGUCCAAGUUCACUAAUCAUAGGCAAACUAAAUAUAACUAAUGAAUCAGAAUCAGCCUGUAGGAAAAUGAGUAAGGUUGUUAAUAUAGGUGUGUUCAACUUUCUUCAAAUGUGCUUAGUGAGCAACAGGUGGGUUUUGUUUAAUUUUCUUCAUUAAAAGACAGAACUAUUAUUUAUUUCAUUGACAUAACACUUCAGAAAAAAUUAACUUAGCUAAUUUUUUCUUGCCAACAGUAUUACAUCUUAUUUAUACUUAAUGACAAUUAUAUUCUUUGUAUUUUUAAUGGUAGUUACUGAUGAAUCAAUGACUAUAUACAAUUCUAGUUUGAUUGUUUUAGUGUGUGUGUGUGUGUGUGUUUUCAGUUUGACAGUUUUAAUGGAACUCAUUGGUUGGUUGACCUACAAUUUCUCUAGCUACUUAGUAACGGGUUACUGAAUCAUGAUCAAAAUCUACUUGUGGUUGUAGCAAUAGUAAUAAAUGUUCUAAUGCUGCUAAGGACAAUAAUGAUAGUACUGUGUACCCCAAAUUGCUUUUGUCAUUUUGUAAUUAUUGACUUAUUAGUCAUCCCAGCAAUUUUACAAGUGGUUAAUCUUUUGAAGAGGAGCAAAGAGUGGCAAAGAUGCCUUUGAUUCACAGUUAGAAAGUGAAUGUUAUCAUCUUAGGAGAGGAAAAGGCCCAGGCAAUUCUGCAUCGUUUGGGAGAUGUAAUGACACUUUUGUCCAAGAUGCACAGACCUGCUCUCGUUUUCACUUUGUUCUUCCCUAUUUUAACCCUUCUCUUCCCAAUAUCUUCCCCACCAAACUCACUCAUGGUCAACCCUUAUUCAUCCUUUCCUCUCUACAUUAUUUUAUAGUUAUGCUUUUGUUAAUUAUACACAAUUUCUUUUUAUUUCCUGUUUGUCAGCAAAUAAGUUCCUUGUGAGUAGAGAUUUGGUUGUUGUGAAGUCUUUUUUAUCUGUUUUAUGCCCAGGAGGAGCCCAGUGAAGAUAUAUCACGACCUGGACAAGUGUCUUGUCAUUAUCAUGGAUCACAAGCUCCAUUGGACAGAUACACACACACACACACACACACACACACACACACACACAUAUAUAUAUAUAUAUAUAUAUAUAUAUAUAUAUAUAUAUAUAUAUGGUUCAGUGUGGCCUUAACACUGGCAGGUCUGGGCUCUAGUGCUUGUGUCACGAUGAUAAAUCACUUCAACUCCUUUUUCUUCAAUAUUCCUUUUCCAGAGGACCUGAGCAGGUAGUACCUGAAAAGCUGCAAGGACUUUUUCAGCUCACCCAUCCUAUAGCUUAUAGAGCAAUCUAGAUGCCCACCCACAGCAGUUUGCACCAUGAGGAUAUUUACUGCAUUCCUGAAGGGUGGUGAGGAAGAGGGGAUGCUGUGCAUUCCUUGGCUGAAACAUUGGUAACUUAGAAAAAUUAGUCAAAAUGUAAUAUGUAAUAAUCCACCUGGAGUUCUUAAUUCUCAGAGGUUAAGAAAACAUUUAUUCUUUUAAAAAGUCACAUUUGUUUACUUUUGGGAGAAGAGUUCAAUUUUAGAAAUUCAAUACCAUGGCUUCCUAUUGACUUAUGCUUCAUCUUUGUAGCCAAGCACGUGUCCAAAUGACCAACAGGCUCAUAGUUCCACAUCCUUGUGUCCACCUUCUAAUGACGUAACCGCUGAUGGCUCCUCCAGCUUAUCUGGGGUGUGGGUGAGCCCAGGAAUCACUGCUCAUUCACAAUGCCCACACCCAGAAUUAUCCACUAUACAGGUAAUGUUGGAGCUUGUUCUCAGUUUGGAAUGUGCUGUAUGUAGCAAUGUACUUGAUCUGCUCUUUUCUAGGAAAUGGAGUCAAUUAAUUAAUUGUCUACAUUCAUGUUAAUGUUUCGUAUAAUUACAGGUAACAUUAAGGCAAUUUAUGGUAAGUCCCUGUUUUCAAAGAGCUAAUGUUCUAGUUUGGAAUUAAAUUUACAAUAGAUAGAAAGCAUAUAUGAAAGAAAGUCAAAGAAAAACAUGUAAGGUACAAAUGCACAGUUGGGAAGUGGUAGGGGAACAUACAUAUUGGUCCUCUAAGGUUUAAGUCACUAAUCACACUCUCAUAGAAAACUCUCCUAUUUAAAGCUUAUGGAUCUGACUCUGUUGGUGAUUACCUUAUUUUCUUAGACAGUUGCAACUUCUGAACCUGUGUAUGGAAUCUUAUUUAACUUUCAUGUGACCUUAUAUGAUGAUCUUGACAUAGAAGUCUAUCUUCUCUGAAGCUUCUGCACCAGCUUUGGAGUCUAGGCUGAGUUCUUCUUGGUUCCUAACCUCACAUCUGGUUGACAGAACUAACUUUUCCUCAUGACUGGCUUUAGCUUUUAUAUAGCAACUUGACCUUGACUAUAAAUCAUUGAUUUCAUUAGACCAUUUGGUUGGGUUUUGUGAAAUUUCUACUUAUCCCUGCUUAAUCUUGCUGUAGAGGCUCAGAAGAGUUUGAGUCUUUCUUGAUCCUGGAUUAAAACUAUCAACUCUUUAUAUUGCUUCUGGGGCAAUGUGAAAGAAUGAAUGAAGUCAAUAGGAUGUAGUUAUAAAAUGCUUCUUUUAUGUUUGUAGAGGUUAUUAAGUCAUAUUAACCAUAGAAUUGAAAGAUAACAAUGGUCUACUGGUUCUUAAUGCUAACUGCAUGAUAGAAUCACCUGGAAACUGUUUAAGACAUGCCAGUGCUUCAGCUGCACUGUAGACCAAUUAAAUAAGAAGCUGGGGGUGGGUGCCAUGAAGUUAUAGUUUUUAAAAACUUCUCAGAUGAAUCUGAUGUGAGCCAGAGAUAAAAAUGACUGAUGCAGGUGUCUUCCAUCAUUAAGUCACAGGGGAAACCUGCCCAAAGAGAGUCAAGAGACUUCCAGAAUCCACCUAGGUCUUGUUUUCAAGGUGCCAAAACAGGAGAGGAGGUUGGGUUUUCCAUUGUUUGUGUGCAAUUUACUUCAUGAAAGUCCUCAAGUGUGUUUAAGGCAGUGUUAGAGGCUCCUACCUGAUGUACAUAACCUUCAGUUAUGUAAUUAUUAAAAGUACAGAAUCAUUAAUAAAAUACGUCACUAAUUUACAUUUUUCAGAUUUUCCCAAGAUUUACUAUUUUCCCCAAGAUAUGCUAUUUUCUUAUUAACUAAUGCCAAACUAUGUAACCAGACUCUAAGUCUCCUAACCAAUCAUUAACCUAAAGUACACUUGCACUUUAUUUCUAAUCUAAAAUUCCCAUCUAAAAAAGUCCCCUUAAAUCUUAUAUUUAAAACAUCCUAAAGUUUAUAAAUAUUCUCAAAACAUAUCAGAAACCUAUACAACUAAAAACUUAAGAAUUUUUAAACUUAAGAAUCUAAAUAAAAUAAUAUUUCUAACAUUCUUCUAAAACUGUGUCUUAUAAAGCUAUUUUAAUUAAUUCCUAAAUUUAUUCUCAUAAAACUGGUUGAGCUGCUUUCUCAAAGAGUUUCUUUGUUUCUCAGUCAAGGUGCACUAGUUCUCAUAUCUUUAUAAUCUUUCUCAAUAGAAAGUAAGUUCUAAACAUCAAUCCACUUUCCACCAAUAUUAACUAUGCUCAUCAUAUAUCCCUAUGUAAAGUAAGAAAGGGUUUAUAAAAAGAGAAGAAUAUAUCUUUAUAUGUUUUAACUUUCCUAAGUGUAUAAUAUAACUUUCCUUAAUCAAAAAUGAGACUGCAUGGGGUGAACUUUGUAAAAUAAGCAUAAUGAUUAGAUUUUCUAAGAGGCAGGAAAUAUGGGCUUGGGUUCUAGUUGAUAUAAUCAAUGUGGUGCCUAAAAUUCUCAUGACCUUUCAAAGGAUGAUUGUUGUCCAUUAUCAGAUUUGUCCACAAUAUACUGAGAUAGAAGAACAGCCUUCUACUUUGUCCUUGAUAUGCUGAGGGGUAGUAGAACAGCCUCCAAGGCAUGAACUUCCUGUUAUGUUCUAGCCAUCUGAAAUUUAAUUUGUUUGGCUUUUAACAUACUCAUGCCUCCUGUCAGAAACAUAAGCAUGAAAAUGAAAAGUCCCAGUUACAUAAAAAAGGGUCUCAUGGUUUCGACUUCCCACCAACCAGUGUGGCUUUGCCAGCGUUCAUCCUCACUGUGACCCUGUCAAGACAGUGGGAGAGCGGCUUGGCCAGCACUUUUUCUCACUGUGACCCUGUCAAUACAGUGAGUGGGGGAUCGCCUUCACCAAAGGCUGAAAGUGGGUAAUGAGCCCCCCAAAGGAACCGAUGAUUCUGGGGAGUUUGGAAGACACAAAAGAGAAUGGAGUGUCUCAGAAGCAAAAAGAAAGACAUGUUGUAAAACAGAGGAGAAGGGAUGGUGUCCAGGGGCAAACGCGGUGGAGGACUUCAGUAAGAAGAGCGCUUACACGGGCAUUUAGGCUUUAGUGGAUGAAUAUAAUUGGUGACUAUUUCAGUGGCCUGAUGGGAGCAGAAGCCCAACCGGAUUGGGCUGAAAAGUGUGCCAAUGGAGACACUGCAUUCAAAUGACUCUCAGGAAAUUUUGGUUUUCAGAGAAAGAGAAAGGGUUGUUGGAGGGUGAUUUGGAAUCAAAGGAGUUUUUUUUCUUUUUCUUUUUUUCUGUAAAGUAGCUUUUGUUUCUUUGGUAGUUUGUUUGGAGUGUGAUUAAAUGUGGAAAGUGGUGAAGAAAUUCUAUCCAGGGUAAUCAAAAGAGAAAAUCUGCUGGGAAGGGCACAGGGGAUGGAACCCAAAAGACAGGUUGGAGCACCAGCUUCAGAUGGUAGAGGAUAGCUCUUCUGUCAACCAAGAAAGAGGUGAAGUCCAGGUAGCUUAGGUUUGCAGGUUUGGUAGUUGGUGGAGUUUUCAUUUGAUGGGUUCAAGUUUUCCAAUGAAGUAGGAAGGAGGGAAGAGGAAAGCCAUUUGAUUGGAAUGGGGAGGGAUGAUUUGUGCACGGGGAACGAUGGGUGGAGGUUACAGGUUUGAAGAGUGAGAAGAAGACUGAGGACGUACUUGAGAUUUGAGGGAGUAUCUUGAUCCAAGAUCUGUAAGGGGGUGUCAGAGCAAUGCAAAAAAUCCUCUUGAGGAGGGGAUCUGCCCAGGUGCUUGGCUUUUCACAACAGUGUGACUGCUCCAAAGUCCAGAGAAAGUAAAUCAUCAUUUAUUUGCCAGCCAGCGGAGAUGAAAAGAGGGAAAUACAAGAGACUUCAGGGAAUCACCAAGAGUGCUAUUAAAUAAUGGAACAAAAUGUGGACAAGGAAAGAUGUAGUGAAGUACUAACCACUGAACCAAAGGUUUUUUUUUUUUUUAAUCAAACUAAAGAAAGGUCAUCAUGGAAUGGCUGGGUGAACAAGCUGGAGAGAGAGGACAUGGUGGUUAGGAGACAAAAUUCUUGAGGAAGUGAUAGAUAUUGGAAGUGGAGCAGGGUUUGGCAUUGAGUGGAGGAUCAAGUGUGUGAAAGAGAAUUUACCAUUUAAAAAUAUUUGUCUGCCCACAUGAAAAGUCAACGGACAGUGAUGGAGGAGGAAGGAAUAAGUAGAGCAUGGGUGAUUUUUAAGGCAGUGAAACUACUUUGUAUAAUGUUGGAUAUAUGUCAUUACGUGUUAUACAUUUAUAUUUUUCCAAAUCCAUAAAGUGUUCCAUACCAAGAGUGAAUCUUAGCAUAAACUAUGGACUCUGGGUGAUAAUUAGUUGCCAAUGUGGAUUCAUCACACAUAACAAAUGAACCACGGUGCAGGAUAUCGAUAAUGGGGGAAGUUAUGUACCUGCAGGGGAAGGGUGUGUGUAGAUUAUCUAUAUACACUUGACUCUGUUUUCCCCUGGAUCUAAAAUAGCCCUAAUACAUAAGGUCUAUUAAAAUAAAACAAACAAACAAAAAAGGAAAAUAGAAUAACAGAAGAGAUAUUGGCAGAUUUGUCUUUUUUCUAAUGUCCGGGAAAGCAUGGCGUUUCUUCCACCUGGAUGAACAUCUGGAUGUUUUUAAAGUCUAAACUCCAGAGUCAUAUAGUGAUUAAAACAAAGUCAAUACAAUACAUUGUAAGUUGUAAGUAGCACAAAAAGGAUGACCCAUUGCAAACAUUUUUGUCUUUAUAAGUGAUAUUUUGAUUCACACUCUUCUUAGGUGAAAGGAAAUAGCGGCAGUGACUGGUCUCUGUGGAAAGUUUUCCUGGUCUGCCUCUUAGCCUGUGCGAUAACAACAGCAAUUGGAGUCCUCGUAAUAUGCCUGGUGAAUAAUCGAGGAAGUAAUUCCUCCGUUGUUAUCCAGCUACCCACAAACAGUGGAGGGGUGGUAGAUAGGGAAUCUGGAACAGCCUCUACUACUUCCCAACCUACAGUGACCACCACUUCAACUGAACCUUCAACUAUCACCACUUCAACAGAAUCUACAACCACAACGGUCACAACCAGUUCUUCAACUCAGCCUUUAACCACAGCACCCCUCACCACAACUUCAAGUAGAACCAGAUAUAUCACCACUGCCACAGAAUCCAUGGGUACGGUGGCUCCUCCAUAGCUAUUAUUUGAAGAGCCACAACCAUCACUUCAUAGGAAUCUACCCUCUCUACCCGACAACCUAGCUCACAACCACAGCAGCUACUCCUACCCCUUGAAGUUGAACAACAGCUGGUGCCACUUUAUCAGACUUGCUGUUGUGACUUCAUAGCACCAAAUGCUAGUGAAACUGAUGCUUAGCUGACAGCCAGAUCCUCACCUCCACCAUCUUUUCAACGAAACCCAUGGCUACCUGUGCUUCAAGUGAAAGUACAGCUACUACCACAUCCACUUAACCUACAACUACAGGAACUUCUACUUACUCUACAAUAAGUGUUGAUUACCCUCACUAGGAAUCACAAAUGCCGCCAUUAACAUUUUAACCUUAACUAAGUUACUAUCAGUCACCAGAACAAUCUCUUCUAUCUCAUUAACCUUUAGUCAUUACAACUACAAAUUAGCCUAAAAUUAUUCCCCACAUUGACUUUUCUGAGAAUUUAUAUUGGACUACUUCUUCUACAGGAGCUGAAUCUGUAUCAUUGCCAUUACUAAGUUACCAUGAUGCCACCAUGGACCAUGGAUAAUGGAAUAAUUACCCCAAUUUUUAUGAAGUCAACAAUUAGGAUUUAUAAAAUUAUUAAAACUGUUUUAGAAUAAUAGCAGUUAAGCUAUAAGAAUCUGAUCUUGGUUCUCUAGUUCCAAAUAAUAUAUAGCUUUAUAUAAAAAAGUGACUAUUUGUUUGCUAGAAAUCAUCCUGAGAUUUUAUAUAAAAUGUUAUACUAAAAUUAGCCAUUUGGAUUUUAAUAUAUAUUGGUUUCAGUUCAGAACGUUGCAUUUCUGUGUACACAAAUUACAUGCAUAAUGAACAGGGAUUUCAUAUGCAGGGGAUUUAAACAAAUUUAUACAGAAAAAUGUUAGAAUUUAUAACAAUUAUUUCUUCUAGGGUGAAUUUUGUUAUGUUUUUUUCAAUUUCUGUUUAUAUUGUAACUUGCUUUUAAUCAAUCAUAUUCAUUUUUGGACUAAUAUUACUAAAAGUGCAUUUGGGUUUUUAAAUUUGUAUUUUAAAUUACUUUCUGCAAUAUUGUAAGUCACUCAAUUGACAUUUCUUGAGUCACGGCUGGGUACUACAGCACUGAAAAGGUAUACCAGAAGAAAAGAAAAUGCACAUUAACUAAUAAAUUCAUUAAUUUAGAGUGUUAAUAUUUAAUUCUUAAUGACUUUGGAAGGUUUGAAUUAGAACUGAUAAUGAUGCAGACUUUCUAAAUCAGGAUCUUAGAUUGUAACUAGUAAUCUGUACUUAAAAAACUGUAUUGAUAUUUAUAAUAUUCAGGGAGUUUGAGAAUUAAAGAUUCAAAGGUCGUAGUCUUAUAAUGACAUUAGUUAGAGUGGUGUACAUUAAAAUUAAAAAUGUUAAAAUCAGAACUGUGUUCCAAGCAGGCAAGAAAGAGAAUUACAGAAUUAUAGAUCUAGGUAAGCUCCAAAUCAUCUUCAGCAAUUUAGUGAGGCCCAAAGCAACUUAGCAAGACCCUGUCUCAAAAUGAUAUAUAAAAAAGGUUGAAGAUAUGGAAUGGUAAAGCAUCCCUGUGUUCAACCCCUGGUACCAGAAGGAAAAAAAAACACCUAAAAACUCUAUGUAUAAAAACUUAUUUAGAAAAUGGUAAUUCCAAGUAAGAAAUGAACUAUCUAGGAACAUGUCAAGGAACAUGAGAUCAAUAGGGGAAUGUUUCAUUUACCAAAUAGCAAAGAAAUAUUUUUAAGACAAAUCUUAAAUUUUAAGUUUCUCUGAAAAUCUUAAAGUACUUGUUUUUUUUACCAUUGGACCUAAGGGAAUAUUUUCUUAUAUAUGCUUAAAAGUAAUGACAUUUUAUAACUACUUAAUUUGAAUUUUUAAUAAUUACACAUUGGCUUUCUCUUCCUUUCUUAAUGUUUGGAUUAAGAAUAUUUUUUGAGAUAUUUAAAACAUCAGUGACUAGAUAGUUCAUUUCUUACUUGGAAUUACCAUUUUCUAAUCCUUUCACAGUUCUGCUAGUCACAAGAAUGAUAAAUAAUUUGAAAUGCAUUCAUUUG
Molecule: long non-coding RNA, 10521 nt
Filed under: Marmota monax (woodchuck)
Lineage: Eukaryota; Metazoa; Chordata; Mammalia; Rodentia; Sciuridae
Source: RNAcentral